This 253-nucleotide ribosomal RNA is filed under the name uncultured bacterium. RNAcentral's name for it is "partial 16S ribosomal RNA". It matches the Rfam family "Bacterial small subunit ribosomal RNA", at positions 524 to 776 of the family's 1533-position model. The record is from RNAcentral.
UACGAGAGCCUCGAGCGUUAUCCGGAAUUAUUGGGCGUAAAGGGUGCGUAGGUUGCAAUGUUAGUCUUUUGUUAAAGACCCGAGCUUAACUUGGGGAUCGCGAAGGAAACGGCAUUGCUUGAAAGUGCAAGGGGUGUACGGAACUCAUGGUGUAGGGGUGAAAUCCGUUGAUAUCAUGGGGAACACCAAAAGCGAAAGCAGUACACUGGUGCAUAUUUGACACUGAAGCACGAAAGCGUGGGUAGCGAAUGGG